Long non-coding RNA from Anolis carolinensis (green anole), 2861 nucleotides. RefSeq lists it as uncharacterized. The record is from RefSeq and is a predicted model, not a curated record. NCBI's taxonomy places the organism in Eukaryota, Metazoa, Chordata, Lepidosauria, Squamata, Anolidae. The transcript is spliced from 2 exons.
UCUCUCUCUCACCCUCGCUCGUUCGCUCACUUACCAGGCAGAGCAGCCUUCCUUCUUCCCUGACUGCAGGAGCAGAGGCAGCCUGGGUAACAUGGCAGAUACAAAGCAAGUGACCCGCUGGCACUGACUACCGAUUCCAGAAUCCUGCAACCAGCUUUGCCACUGGCCAUAAAGACUGCAGAUCCCAGGAACUAUAUCCCCAAAAAAGUAACUUUUUUUUAGCUCUGUUUACCUUUCUCACCAGAAACAUAGGUGCCUCCCUUCCAUAAAUAGCACCUUAGAGUGACAAGCAAGAUGGAAAUCUUGGAAUCCUUUUCUCCAAGCUGGUGUUUAAAUGUGGAAACUUAUAUAGUUUCAAUAUAUAUUGAAUGAGCCAGUGAAUGAACUUUUAAAUAAACAUGAUUGAAGCAAAUUCCGGAUAUAAAGUAAAACUACUUUAUUUGUACUUCAUUUCCAGCUCUAAGGCAAAACAGCAAGCCUUGCCUGGAAUGGGCACUUUCAGUAAAUACUGGUUUAAUGUAUGGUUAAGCAGGAUCCCUUAGGAGUGCAAGAUAAUAUUUAUUAAACUUUGGGGGGAAGGAGGAUUCUGGCAAGCAUUUAGGGAGGGGAAUUAAUGUACAUCAUUAAACCCUAGACGAGCUGGGAAGGCCUGCUGAGCAGCUUAGAGAAGCCCAUCAGGAUGAUAAAUAGCUCAGAGUGGAGAUGUCCAUAUACGGCUCUAGGCUUCCAAUGAGGCGGGACAGUCCCGUGUGAGGAGCAUUGCGUACCAUUCUUGGAUCAGGUUCACAUUCUUCGGGUGUGUUUCUCUGGGAGCCUUUGAUUUCCGUUUUGAGGGCUGGCUGAGACCUCCAGUGGCUCUUAUAAGAAAAUAGCCGCGACUGAAGGUCGAAAAUGUGCAAGAUUCUUUCUUUAAGUACACAAACACGCUGAGUCUAGCCACUUUCCUGCAGUCCUGCCAAGGUUUUUCAGUAUGUCUGAUACUUGAUCAAGUGACUUCUUUGGAGAAAAGGGGCACUGCAUUGAAAAAGAAGAUGGAUAAACACGAAAAGAAAGGAUUCCAAAGAUCCACACCUGUACUUUCUUCAUCUUCUUUUAACAAGACUUACCACCAGUUGAAGCUCAUGCCGAAACACACAUUCCACCUAUAGCUGUAUAAACACAACUGUGUUGCCAAUGCAGUGAAUUCCUAGUUUUACCAGAAAAAAUAUACAGCCUGAAAAUGAGCUGCUGUAUAAACACCUGCAUGUAAGUUGAAAUGAGCCCAUUUUGACAAUCCUGAAUAUCAAUGACAGCCUGUGUAUUCCCCCCUUUCCCCCUCCCCCUCAAAUGGAGGCAUAAUGUUAUAUAAGGAGGCAAGGAAACAAAGCACACUGAUAGCAAUGGGAAUGUUUGUUGUUGUUUUUUUUUACUUCGUCAUUACCACAUCUGCACAAAACAUAUUUAAUGAGUCAUGGAGCCAACCAAACAUAGCUAGCACCCAAUUUAGUUCUGUUCACAUCAUGCCAUCCAUAAAAAGCAGACCAGAAUUAGAUAUUUUCAUUGUACCAGUCUUAGGGGAAAGACUUCAGUUCCCAGAAGCACUCCCACACACAACUUGAAUAUUGGCAUACAAUUCAGAGAAGUGUAGUCUAAAACAGCUCGAGGCCAAAUGUUCUGCACUACUGUCACUGAAAAAUCCUGAAUGAAAUGGUUGCUUUUUAUGAGGAGUAAUUGGAUGUCCAAUGGAUGCCCACAUUUGUCAGGCAAAGAAAGCGCAACGCCUUAGUCAUGCUUUGUCUGUCUAGCAAUGUCUGAAGCAUGGUGAUCCAUGACUGAUGUGAUAAAAUCCAGGCUAAUCCAUCACUUCUUUAUGACAAGGGGUGUACAAAACUGCCAACAGAGAUUCAAAUGUCACAAACAGUUCAAAUGUCAUCACGGACACCAAUCUUCAAUAAGAAAAGUUUACAUACUCCAUUAUUUGGUGGUGAAUUUAAAUACUCGUGAGAUGGCUAUGCAUGUGUGAAUCAAUCCCUUGAUUGGUUUACAAGUCUCUAAAUCAGGCAUGGGCAAACUUCAACCCUCUAGGUGUUUUGAACUUCAACUCCCACAAUCCCUAACAGCCUACCAGCUGUUAGGAAUUGUGGGAGUUGAAGUCCAAAACACCUGGAGGGCCGAAGUUUGCCCAUACCUGCUUUAAAUCUUAGUCAUGUAGCUGAUUUUCUAGGUGAUCACGAACCAGCUGCUUUUUUCUGUUCUACAGCCAGACCCUGAUGAAGUUACUGUAUUUACUCAAAUCUAAUGCUUUUUGCCACUCUGCAUUACAUUCGGCAGCAAAUCCUUCAUUUCAAGGUUCUGAAAACUGAGGUGUGCAUUACAUUCGAUGGCGCAUUAGACUUGAGAGACAUUGAGAGACUUGGGAGACAUCCACUUCCCCCCAAGCUCUCCAGAUGCCCAUGCUGAUGAUAUGCUUCUUGGCAUUAUGAGGAAAGUUUUUUUAAAAAAAACUGGAUCUACACUUGUUCACAUAUACUCCCCCACUUGUUGUGAAUGGAGUGGAAACAACACCUCUACUAAAUUGCUCAAUAUGUGAAAGCUUGCCAUUCACUUUUUGCUUUUUGUGGGGUGGUAGGGUCCAGAAAUUGGAAUCAUUGCACACAGAUAUAUGUUAUUGCCUGACCCCACUGAAUUCCUUGACAGCACCUUGUUUACUGUUUUAUUGUUUAUAUGCUUGUUUUAUAUGCUUCUUAUGUGUUAUUGUUUUUAAAUGUACUUGAUAUUGUAUUUUAUGAUGAACCGGGCUUUGUCCCCAUGUGAGCCGCCCUGAGUCCCUUCAGGGAGAUGGGGUGGGAUACAAAAAUAAAGUUGUUGUUGUUGUUGUUGUU